UACAGAGGGUGCGAGCGUUGUUCGGAUUCAUUGGGCGUAAAGGGUGCGUAGGGGGCGCCGUAAGUCAGGUGUGAAAUCUCGGGGCUCAACCCCGAAACUGCACUUGAUACUGCGGUGCUCGAGUACUGGAGAGGAGAUUGGAAUUUACGGUGUAGCAGUGAAAUGCGUAGAUAUCGUAAGGAAGACCAGUGGCGAAGGCGAAUCUCUGGACAGUUACUGACACUGAGGCACGAAGGCCAGGGGAGCAAACGGG
Molecule: ribosomal RNA, 253 nt
Filed under: uncultured bacterium
Lineage: Bacteria
Description: partial 16S ribosomal RNA
Rfam family: Bacterial small subunit ribosomal RNA
Source: RNAcentral